GCGGACGCCUGAUCCAGCCAUGCCGCGUGUGUGAAGAAGGCCUUUUGGUUGUAAAGCACUUUAAGCGAGGAGGAGGCUACUGGUACUAAUACUACUGGAUAGUGGACGUUACUCGCAGAAUAAGCACCGGCUAACUCUGUGCCAGCAGCCGCGGUAAUACAGAGGGUGCGAGCGUUAAUCGGAUUUACUGGGCGUAAAGCGUGCGUAGGCGGCUGAUUAAGUCGGAUGUGAAAUCCCUGAGCUUAACUUAGGAAUUGCAUUCGAUACUGGUCAGCUAGAGUAUGGGAGAGGAUGGUAGAAUUCCAGGUGUAGCGGUGAAAUGCGUAGAGAUCUGGAGGAAUACCGAUGGCGAAGGCAGCCAUCUGGCCUAAUACUGACGCUGAGGUACGAAAGCAUGGGGAGCAAACAGGAUUAGAUACCCUGGUAGUCCAUGCCGUAAACGAUGUCUACUAGCCGUUGGGGCCUUUGAGGCUUUCAGUGGCGCAGCUAACGCGAUAAGUAGACCGCCUGGGGAGUACGGUCGCAAGACUA
This 531-nucleotide ribosomal RNA is filed under the name Acinetobacter sp. enrichment culture. RNAcentral describes it as "bacterial SSU rRNA". It matches the Rfam family "Bacterial small subunit ribosomal RNA", at positions 375 to 896 of the family's 1533-position model. The record is from RNAcentral. Lineage: Bacteria; Pseudomonadati; Pseudomonadota; Gammaproteobacteria; Moraxellales; Moraxellaceae.